GACGAACGCUGGCGGCGUGCUUAACACAUGCAAGUCGAACGGAAAGGCCUGCUUUCCCUUGUGGAUUGCGGGUACUCGAGUGGCGAACGGGUGAGUAACACGUGAGUGAUCUGCCCCCAACUUGGGUAUAAGCCUGGGAAACUGGGUCUAAUUCCCGAUAGGACUGCAGGGUGGUGCCUGUGGUGGAAAACGAUUUGCUAGUGGUUGGGGCUGAGCUCGCGGUCUAUCAGCUUGUUGGUGGGGUAAUGGCCUACCAAGGCGGCGACGGGUAGCCGGCCUGGGAGGGUGGACGGCCACAGUGGGCCUGAGAUACGGCCCAGACUCCUACGGGAGGCAGCAUUGGGGAAUAUGGCACAAGGGGCGGAAGCCUGAUGCAGCGACGCCGCGUGGGGGAUGACGGCCUUCGGGUUGUAAACUCCUUUCGACCGCGAGGAAGCCACCUGGUUGGAAGGGUGGUGACGGUAGUGGUAGAAGAAGCACCGGCUAACUACGUG
Molecule: ribosomal RNA, 494 nt
Filed under: uncultured bacterium
Lineage: Bacteria
Description: partial 16S ribosomal RNA
Rfam family: Bacterial small subunit ribosomal RNA
Source: RNAcentral